RNAcentral lists this ribosomal RNA (506 nucleotides) under uncultured bacterium. RNAcentral's name for it is "partial 16S ribosomal RNA". It matches the Rfam family "Bacterial small subunit ribosomal RNA", at positions 30 to 523 of the family's 1533-position model. The record is from RNAcentral.
ACUGAACGCUGGCGGCAGGCCUAACACAUGCAAGUCGAACGGUAACAGGAAACAGCUUGCUGUUUCGCUGACGAGUGGCGGACGGGUGAGUAAUGUCUGGGAAACUGCCUGAUGGAGGGGGAUAACUACUGGAAACGGUAGCUAAUACCGCAUAACGUCGCAAGACCAAAGAGGGGGACCUUCGGGCCUCUUGCCAUCGGAUGUGCCCAGAUGGGAUUAGCUAGUAGGUGGGGUAACGGCUCACCCAGGCGACGAUCCCUAGCUGGUCUGAGAGGAUGACCAGCCACACUGGAACUGAGACACGGUCCAGACUCCUACGGGAGGCAGCAGUGGGGAAUAUUGCACAAUGGGCGCAAGCCUGAUGCAGCCAUGCCGCGUGUAUGAAGAAGGCCUUCGGGUUGUAAAGUACUUUCAGCGGGGAGGAAGGGAGUAAAGUUAAUACCUUUGCUCAUUGACGUUACCCGCAGAAGAAGCACCGGCUAACUCCGUGCCAGCAGCCGCGGUAA